GCGCAUCGAGCCGGCGAUCAGGGAGCGC
RNAcentral lists this small RNA (28 nucleotides) under Bombyx mori (domestic silkworm). Its description in RNAcentral is "ovarian small RNA-494". Lineage: Eukaryota; Metazoa; Arthropoda; Insecta; Lepidoptera; Bombycidae. The record is from RNAcentral.